Molecule: ribosomal RNA, 608 nt
Filed under: uncultured bacterium
Lineage: Bacteria
Description: bacterial SSU rRNA
Rfam family: Bacterial small subunit ribosomal RNA
Source: RNAcentral
GUAACGCGUGGGAAUAUGCCCUUUAGUUCAGAAUAACACCGGGAAACUGGUGCUAAUACUGGAUACGCCCUUCGGGGGAAAGAUUUAUCGCUAAAGGAUUAGCCCGCGUUAGAUUAGGUAGUUGGUGGGGUAAUGGCCUACCAAGCCUACGAUCUAUAGCUGGUCUGAGAGGAUGAUCAGCCACACUGGAACUGAGACACGGUCCAGACUCCUACGGGAGGCAGCAGUGGGGAAUAUUGGACAAUGGGCGAAAGCCUGAUCCAGCCAUGCCGCGUGAGUGAUGAAGGCCUUAGGGUUGUAAAGCUCUUUUGUCAGGGAAGAUAAUGACGGUACCUGAAGAAUAAGCACCGGCUAACUUCGUGCCAGCAGCCGCGGUAAUACGAAGGGUGCUAGCGUUGUUCGGAAUCACUGGGCGUAAAGCGCGCGUAGGCGGCUUUUCAAGUCAGAGGUGAAAGCCCGUGGCUCAACCACGGAAUUGCCUUUGAAACUGAGAAGCUAGAGUGUCGGAGGGGAUAGCGGAAUUGCUAAUGUAGAGGUGAAAUUCGUAGAUAUUAGCAGGAACACCGGUGGCGAAGGCGGCUAUCUGGACGACAACUGACGCUGAGGCG